Molecule: long non-coding RNA, 517 nt
Filed under: Trifolium pratense (red clover)
Lineage: Eukaryota; Viridiplantae; Streptophyta; Magnoliopsida; Fabales; Fabaceae
Description: long non-coding RNA (TPRA_LNC011208)
Source: RNAcentral
AUGGGGAACAAAUUCGGAUUCUAUGUUGUAAAAGUUUCACACGGUACUAGAUCACAACCUUCCAUUUUAAAUUGGACGGUUCUGAUCUUACACACAGUUAUACAUCAAAACAAUCUCAGCCAUCUAUUCUAGAUCGUACGGCCAAAAUCCUUUACUGCGUGAAAAUAGUGUGUAACUUUACAACAUCAAAUCUGAUUCCGAAGGAACUAUAACCUGAGAACAACUAAGCAUUGGGAACCACCAACUUUUAAUUAUAUAGGGUCAAUUUAUAAAUACUGCAAAUUAUUUGCUAUAAUUGAAAACUAAUCACAUUUUUUUUUUUGACAAAAAACUAAUCACAUUUUAAUAAUAUUAUAAGUGAUAUUUUUCUCAACCAAUAUAUUUAAGACACAUUAUCAUAUAAUGAAUAACCGGCCUAAUUUUAUGAGAUAGAUAACUGAGUUGCUAUGCGUGUAUAGUAUAUAGUAAUUAGUGUGACUAAUUCAAUACAAGCCUCACUUGAAUGAGAGAGUUUAAG